UGGGGAAUCUUGCACAAUGGGGGCAACCCUGAUGCAGCGACGCCGCGUGAGCGAUGAAGCCCUUCGGGGCGUAAAGCUCUUUCGACCGGAACGAUAAUGACGGUACCGGGAGAAGAAGCUGCGGCUAACUACGUGCCAGCAGCCGCGGUAAUACGUAGGCAGCAAGCGUUGUUCGGAGUUACUGGGCGUAAAGAGUGCGUAGGCGGUUUUCUAAGUUCGGUGUGAAAUCUCCCGGCUUAACUGGGAGGGUGCGCCGAAGACUGGGAAGCUGGAGUGUGGGAAAGGCAGGCGGAAUUCCUGGUGUAUCGGUGAAAUGCGUAGAUAUCAGGAGGAACACCUGCGGUGUAGACGGCUUGCUAGACCAUAACUGACGCUGAGGCACGAAAGCGUGGGUAGCAAACA
Molecule: ribosomal RNA, 402 nt
Filed under: uncultured bacterium
Lineage: Bacteria
Description: bacterial SSU rRNA
Rfam family: Bacterial small subunit ribosomal RNA
Source: RNAcentral